GCCCGGGUGGCGGAAUGGUAGACGCGCACGACUCAAAAUCGUGUAGAGCAAUCUGUGAGAGUUCGACUCUCUCCCCGGGCA
Molecule: transfer RNA, 81 nt
Filed under: bacterium
Lineage: Bacteria
Description: tRNA-Leu
Rfam family: tRNA
About the family: Transfer RNA (tRNA) molecules are approximately 80 nucleotides in length. Their secondary structure includes four short double-helical elements and three loops (D, anti-codon, and T loops).
Source: RNAcentral